AUGCUUAACACAUGCAAGUCGAACGGAAACGAUGGAAGCUUGCUUCCAGGCGUCGAGUGGCGGACGGGUGAGUAAUGCUUGGGAAUCUGCCUAAUAGUGGGGGAAAACUCGGGGAAACUCGGGCUAAUACCGCAUAAUCUCUUCGGAGGAAAGGGGGCCUCUACAUGUAAGCUCUCGCUAAUAGAUGAGCCCAAGUCAGAUUAGCUUGUUGGUGAGGUAAAAGCUCACCAAGGCUACGAUCUGUAGCUGGUCUGAGAGGACGAUCAGCCACACUGGGACUGAGACACGGCCCAGACUCCUACGGGAGGCAGCAGUGGGGAAUAUUGCACAAUGGGCGCAAGCCUGAUGCAGCAAUGCCGCGUGUGUGAAGAAGGCCUUAGGGUUGUAAAGCACUUUCAAUAGAGAAGAAAAGCUUAGAGUUAAUAACUCUAAGCAUUGACGUAACCUAUAGAAGAAGCACCGGCUAAAUCCGUGCCAGCAGCCGCGGUAAUACGGAUGGUGCGAGCGUUAAUCGGAAUUACUGGGUGUAAAGCGCGCGUAGGCUGUUUUAUAAGUCGGAUGUGAAAUCCCCGGGCUCAACCUGGGAACUGCAUCCGAAACUAUUUAACUAGAGUAUGGGAGAGGUAAGUAGAAUUUCCGGUGUAGCGGUGAAAUGCGUAGAUAUCUGAAGGAACACCAGUGG
Molecule: ribosomal RNA, 682 nt
Filed under: uncultured bacterium
Lineage: Bacteria
Description: bacterial SSU rRNA
Rfam family: Bacterial small subunit ribosomal RNA
Source: RNAcentral